Agrilus planipennis (emerald ash borer) is the source of this 1058-nucleotide RNA transcript. It is a transcript of the gene named ubiquitin carboxyl-terminal hydrolase isozyme L3, with no coding region annotated. The record is from RefSeq and is a predicted model, not a curated record. NCBI's taxonomy places the organism in Eukaryota, Metazoa, Arthropoda, Insecta, Coleoptera, Buprestidae. The transcript is spliced from 7 exons.
UUUAUCUAUGGUUUUUUAUGUUGUUGUUUUUUGGCACUGCCCUUGUGUAAAUUACCGGUAAAAUUUAUAAACGACAUUACAUUUAUCAUAAAGUUGAUUUGUUUUUUUCAAGUAAUUUAAAGAGUACAUCAUGGCUUGGUUACCAUUGGAAUCAAAUCCAGAUGUUAUGAACAAGUUCAUGCAAACUCUGGGGGUUGAAGAUAAAUGGAGUUUUGUUGACGUGUAUGGGUUAGAUGGUGAAACAUUGCAGUGGGUUCCGCGCCCCGUUUUAGCUGUGAUGCUUCUGUUUCCUUGCAACGAUAAAUUUGAAGAAUUUGCCAAAGAAGAAUGUGAACAAAUAAAACAAAAAGGCCAAACAAUUUCUCCAACUGUAUAUUUUAUGAAACAGUUUGUUUCCAAUGCCUGUGGAACAGUUGCACUUAUUCAUAGUAUUGCAAAUAAUCUGGACAAAAUAAAUAUUUCAGAUGGAUUGUUUAAAAGUACUUUAGAAUCUAGUAUAAAUAUGACACCAGAUGAAAGAGGAACACUAUUAACAAAUACAGGUGGUGGUAUAAGUGAAAUUGCUGAUUCCUUAGCUAAAGAAGGACAAACAGAGUUUAAACUGUACAUUUGCAAGAAAAUGUGCACUUUUAUAUGCUUAUUUGGUACAUAUGAGGAGAUUAUUGUUAAUCAUUACUUGUGUCCAAUGUAAUGAGUACAGUGCUGUAAUUUUGAAGUUUGGGUUGUAUUUGGUAUGGUUUCCCUGAUUAAAGUUAAAAUCAAGGUAACCUUCUAAGGCUAACGUCUAUUUGCAUAUGUUACCAACCAAACAGUGUGAAAGUACACAUUUUCUGGCGAAUGUGCAAUUAACACACUCUUACCAUAACAUAUUUGAGUUAAGAAUCACAUCAUUUGGCUGAAUGGAUAAUCUGAAAACAAGUCUAAAGUGAAACAAAUUAUGGUUUUCCGCCUUGUAAAAUUUUCAUUCAGUGAGUCCAAAUAUGCGGGUAUAUCACCAUUUCGUUGCAUUUGUUUGUAAAGACGGAAGCUUAUAUGAAUUGGAUGGAAGAAGAGAUUUU